This is a non-coding RNA of Hydra vulgaris (swiftwater hydra), 744 nucleotides long. The record is from RefSeq and is a predicted model, not a curated record. Lineage: Eukaryota; Metazoa; Cnidaria; Hydrozoa; Anthoathecata; Hydridae.
UUUAAGUUUCAUGCCUAACGGCAAUCAUUAGCCAUAUAUUACAAAAUUUAAAAUAGACGUUAAAAUUAAGUGUAUCUCGUGGCGAAAAAGUGACGUAAACCAAUCAGGAUCAAUCUACGGUAUCAUAGGAGGAAAUAAGAAAUUUAUUUUUGUGUCUUCAGUUCCAGAUUGUUUCACUCCUUGUGUGAAUUGAAUUAAAAGAUUUGAGGGGGUUUGCGUAUCGAACUUUAAAAGAUGUCUCGCUGAGUCCAAAAUACACUUUUUCUUAGUACUCCGGAUUGUUUGAACAAACGGUGGCUUGAUAAACAAUGUUGUUAGAAAGACAAUGGUUGCUUAUCGGACAUUUGGAUUUAUCAAUGCAGUUGCAUGUCUUUUCAUUAACUUUUUCCUCCUCGUGUAACGUGUUUUUAUUGCGAGAGUUGAUAAUGGAUUUUAUGUUUGGCAUGAAUGAAUAACUUUUUUUGAUUGUGUUUCUAUUAAAUAUUUUAUGGAGUCUGUGGUUAACUGGAAAGUGGUGGUCGAUGAGGUUUAAAAAACAUUUACCUAUUUUUGUUACAACAUUUGCACUGAAAGGAGGAUUAUAACAAAUUAUUUUACGUUUAUGGUUGCUGUUUGAAGAUUUUAUACUUGGAUGGUUUGCAAGUUCGCAAGUGUAUCCAGAUUUUUUCAGGGUUUCUUGAUAAGAAGGAAUACUUUCUUUAAAAAUCGAUUUACUUGACAAUGCUGCUGAUAAUCUUAACUUAA